RNAcentral lists this long non-coding RNA (807 nucleotides) under Mus musculus (house mouse). RNAcentral describes it as "long non-coding RNA chr11:96870194-96871001". The record is from RNAcentral. Lineage: Eukaryota; Metazoa; Chordata; Mammalia; Rodentia; Muridae.
AUGGUGGCUGACACUGGUGCAGCAGGAGGGUCUGGAAGACAUCAGGGGUAGGUGGGGGCAGGAUUAGGAGGCUUCCAUAGUGGUCUUAGGGACAGAAGUGUGGUGGAGGCCACAGGGCUCCUGGUGGUAAAGCUGAAUUAGUGGAUCCCUGUCACCAAGCUGGGCCACCUGGUAAAGGGCAUAAAGAUCAAGUCCUUGGAGAUCUACCUGUUCUCCCUGCCCAUUAAGGAGUUUGAGAUCAUUAACUUUUUCCUGGGUGCGUCCCUAAAGGAUGAGGUUCUGAAAACCAUGCCAGUGCAGACACAGACUCGGGUGGACAGCGAGCAGGUUCAAGGCUUUCGUCACUGCUGGGGACGACAGUGGUCACGUUGGUCUUCGUGUUAAGUGCUCCAAGGAGGUUGCCACUGCCAUUCAAGGGGCCAUCACCUUGGCCAAGCUUUCCAUCGCCCCUGUGUGGAGACUGGCAAGCCCCACACUGUUCCAUGCAAGGUGACAGGCUGCUGUGGCUCUGUGCUGGUGCGCCUCAUCCCUGCCCCAGAGGCAGGCACUGUUUCUGCCUCUGUGCCCAAGAAGCUCCUGAUGGUGUUGACAGUAUUGUUGACUGCUGCACUUCAGCCGGGGGGCAGCAACUUUGCCAAGGCCACCUUUUGAUGCCAUUUCCAAGACUACAGCUACCUGACUCCCAACCUCUGGAAAGAGACUCUGACCACCACGCCUCCUUAUCAAGAAUUCACUGAUCAUCUUGUGAAAACCCACACCAGAGUCUCUGUUCAGAGGACCCAAGCUCCAGCUGAGGCUACCACAUAA